ACCUUUAGGGCUAGGAUAUGCUGGAGUUGAGCCGUAGAUGGCCGUAAUACUCGAAUCAGAGGACAUCUGAGUGAAUAACUUCAAGCUCGAACCUUGAAUCUUCAAGUAACAGGGGUAUGAGGGUACAUGAGGGUAUGUAUAGGCCACCCAAGGCUUGGGACGCCAUUGAUUUCGGUGAAACAAGGUGGAAACCUGCGGAGUAGGGCUAGGGUUUUGGAGGGGGGUUAGAGAGAGUUUGAGAGAUGAAGGGAUUCUAGGGGUGGC
RNAcentral lists this long non-coding RNA (264 nucleotides) under Nicotiana benthamiana. Its description in RNAcentral is "long non-coding RNA (NBEN_LNC032053)". The record is from RNAcentral. Lineage: Eukaryota; Viridiplantae; Streptophyta; Magnoliopsida; Solanales; Solanaceae.